Molecule: ribosomal RNA, 304 nt
Filed under: uncultured bacterium
Lineage: Bacteria
Description: partial 16S ribosomal RNA
Rfam family: Bacterial small subunit ribosomal RNA
Source: RNAcentral
CAGCAGCAGCCACGGUAAUACGGAGGGCGCGAGCGUUACCCGGAUUUACUGGGCGUAAAGGGCGUGUAGGCGGCCUGGGGCGUCCCAUGUGAAAGGCCACGGCUCAACCGUGGAGGAGCGCGGGAUACGCUCAGGCUAGAGGGUGGGAAAGGGUGGUGGAAUUCCCGGAGUAGCGGUGAAAUGCGCAGAUACCGGGAGGAACGCCGAUGGCGAAGGCAGCCACCUGGUCCACUUCUGACGCUGAGGCGCGAAAGCGUGGGGAGCAAACAGGAUUAGAUACCCCCGUAGUCCCUGUUUCUUAUAC